UACAAACACAGAAGGUUUAACAGGA
Molecule: non-coding RNA, 25 nt
Filed under: Mus musculus (house mouse)
Lineage: Eukaryota; Metazoa; Chordata; Mammalia; Rodentia; Muridae
Source: RNAcentral